GGGCCGUUAGCUCAGCCGGAUAGAGUGCCAAAUUCCUAAUUUGGAAGCCGCAGGUUCGAUUCCUGCACGGCCCACCA
Molecule: transfer RNA, 77 nt
Filed under: Parasedimentitalea denitrificans
Lineage: Bacteria; Pseudomonadati; Pseudomonadota; Alphaproteobacteria; Rhodobacterales; Paracoccaceae
Also listed under: 2 other names
Description: tRNA-Arg
Rfam family: tRNA
About the family: Transfer RNA (tRNA) molecules are approximately 80 nucleotides in length. Their secondary structure includes four short double-helical elements and three loops (D, anti-codon, and T loops). Further hydrogen bonds mediate the characteristic L-shaped molecular structure. tRNAs have two regions of fundamental functional importance: the anti-codon, which is responsible for specific mRNA codon recognition, and the 3' end, to which the tRNAs corresponding amino acid is attached (by aminoacyl-tRNA synthetases). tRNAs cope with the degeneracy of the genetic code in two manners: having more than one tRNA (with a specific anti-codon) for a particular amino acid; and 'wobble' base-pairing, i.e. permitting non-standard base-pairing at the 3rd anti-codon position.
Source: RNAcentral